UAGAUUCUGUGAGAGGCAUCGUGUCUCACU
RNAcentral lists this non-coding RNA (30 nucleotides) under Mus musculus (house mouse). The record is from RNAcentral. Lineage: Eukaryota; Metazoa; Chordata; Mammalia; Rodentia; Muridae.